Molecule: unclassified non-coding RNA, 378 nt
Filed under: uncultured Gammaproteobacteria bacterium
Lineage: Bacteria; Pseudomonadati; Pseudomonadota; Gammaproteobacteria
Description: contains 16S-23S intergenic spacer region
Source: RNAcentral
UCGCGGCUUAUCACCGGCAGUCCCCUUAGAGUGCUCAACUAAAUGGUAGCAACUAAGUGCGAGGGUUGCGCUCGUUGCGGGACUUAACCCAACAUCUCACGACACGAGCUGACGACGGCCAUGCAGCACCUGUGUUCAGGUUCUCUUUCGAGCACUCCCACAUCUCUGCGGGAUUCCUGACAUGUCAAGGGUAGGUAAGGUUUUUCGCGUUGCAUCGAAUUAAUCCACAUAAUCCACCGCUUGUGCGGGUCCCCGUCAAUUCCUUUGAGUUUUAGCCUUGCGGCCGUACUCCCCAGGCGGUCAACUUCACGCGUUAGCUUCGUUACCAAGGAAUUACUUCCCCGACAACCAGUUGACAUCGUUUAGGGCGUGGACUAC